CCUGCCCAGUGACUAUACGUUUAACGGCCGCGGUAUUUUGACCGUGCGAAGGUAGCGCAAUCACUUGUCUUUUAAAUGGGGACCUGUAUGAAUGGCACGACGAGGGCUUAACUGUCUCCUUUUUCAAGUCAGUGAAAUUGAUCUCCCCGUGCAGAAGCGGGGAUAAGAACAUAAGACGAGAAGACCCUGUGGAGCUUUAGACACUACGGCAGAUCAUGUUAAACACCCCCAAACACGGGGUUAAACCAGAUGGACCCUGUCCUCAUGUCUUCGGUUGGGGCGACCAUGGGGGAAAACCAAUCCCCCACGCAGAUAGGGGAGUACCUCUCCCUAAUACCAAGAGCUCCCACUCUAAUAAACAGAACCUCUGACCCAAAGAUCCGGCGCACAGCCGAUUAACGGACCAAGUUACCCCAGGGAUAACAGCGCAAUCCUCUUUUAGAGCCCAUAUCGACAAGGGGGUUUACGACCUCGAUGUUGGAUCAGGACAUCCUAAUGGUGCAACCGCUAUUAAGGGUUCGUUUGUUCAACGAUUAAAGUCCUACGUGAU
RNAcentral lists this ribosomal RNA (550 nucleotides) under Xenichthys agassizii. Its description in RNAcentral is "partial 16S ribosomal RNA". It matches the Rfam family "Bacterial large subunit ribosomal RNA", at positions 1858 to 2604 of the family's 2925-position model. The record is from RNAcentral. Lineage: Eukaryota; Metazoa; Chordata; Actinopteri; Lutjaniformes; Haemulidae.